This 416-nucleotide ribosomal RNA is filed under the name uncultured bacterium. RNAcentral describes it as "bacterial SSU rRNA". It matches the Rfam family "Bacterial small subunit ribosomal RNA", at positions 29 to 491 of the family's 1533-position model. The record is from RNAcentral.
AAUGAGCGCUGGCGGCAUGCCUAACACAUGCAAGUCGAACGAGACCUUCGGGUCUAGUGGCGCACGGGUGCGUAACGCGUGGGAAUCUGCCCUUGGGUUCGGAAUAACAGUGAGAAAUUACUGCUAAUACCGAAUGAUGACGUAAGUCCAAAGAUUUAUCGCCCAGGGAUGAGCCCGCGUAGGAUUAGCUAGUUGGUGAGGUAAAAGCUCACAAAGGCGACGAUCCUAGCUGGUCUGAGAGGAUGAUCAGCCACACUGGGACUGAGACACGGCCCAGACUCCUACGGGAGGCAGCAGUGGGGAAUAUUGGACAAUGGGCGAAAGCCUGAUCCAGCAAUGCCGCGUGAGUGAUGAAGGCCUUAGGGUUGUAAAGCUCUUUUACCCGGGAUGAUAAUGACAGUACCGGGAGAAUAAGC